GCCCCCCUUGGGUUGUGCCGUGGCGGAGAUCUUUGUGGGCUAUACUCGGCCUUGUCUCAGGAUGUUAAUUUGGUGGUUGAAGAUAUCCCUCUAGUGGUGUGGGGGCUGUGCUUGGGCAGAGUGGGUGGGGUUAUAUCCUGCCUGUUUGGCCCUGUCUGGUGGUAUUGUCGGACGGGGCCACAGUGUCUCCCGACCCCUCCUGUCUCAGCCAGUAUUUAUGCUGCAGUAGUUUAUGUGUCGGGGGCUAAGGUCAGUCUGUUAUAUCUGGGGUAUUUCUCCUGUCUUAUCCGUUGUCCUGUGUGAAUUUAAGUAUGCUCUCUCUAAUUCUUUCUUUCUCUCUCUCGGGGGACUUGAGCCUUAGGACAUUGCCUCAGGACUACCUGGCAUGGUGACUCCUUGCUGUCCCCAGUCCACCUGGCCGUGCUGCUGCUCCAGUUUCAACUAUUCUGCCUGCGGCUAUGAACCCUGACCUGUUCACAGGACGUGCUACCUGUCCCAGACCUGCUGUUUUCAAUUCUCUAGAGACAGCAGGAGCGGUAGAGAUACUCUCAAUGAUUGGCUAUGAAAAGCCAACUGACAUUUACUCCUGAGGUGUUGACCUGUUGCACCCUCAACAACCACUGUGAUUAUUAUUAUUUGACCCUGCUGGUCAUCUAUGAACAUUUUAACAUCUUGGCCAUGUUCUGUUAUAAUCUCCACCCGGCACAGCCAGAAGAGGACUGGCCACCACUCAUAGCCUGGUUCCUCUCUAGGUUUCUUCCUAGGUUCUGGCCUUUCUAGGGAGUUUUUCCUAGCCACCGUGCUUCUACAGCUGCAUUGCUUGUUGUUUGGUGUUUUAAGCUGGGUUUCUGUACAGCACUAUGAGAUAUCAGCUGAUCAGCAGCGCCAAACCUCUGGCUGGACGAGUGGGUGGUGUCCAUAGGGUCUGGUGUAUUACCAGCAUGGACGGCUGUGGCCUUCGGAUUGAUCUUAGCCUUGAUUCUCUUCAGGUAGAGGCUGCUCCUAACAGCUGAGGAGUAGAAAAAAAUGGGGUCCAGACAGGCAUUGAAGGUGGUGAGCAGGAUGGCCUUGUGCCAAAUAGAGACUUUUUUCUGCAUGAUCUCCACUACAUGGGACGUGUUGUAUGGCCCAAAGAAGAAGGCAAAAACCAUCAGAGUCCUCAACUCCAGCCCGAUGGCACGCAGGCGCCGGUUUCCGGCCGAUGUUGCGCAACCAAGACAGAAUACGGAUGAAGUUGACGUAGCAGAAGUUGCUGAUCAGGAAGUGGACACAGAAGAGCUCCCGAGUGACGCAGCGGUCUAAGGCAAUACAUCUCAGUGCUAGAGGCGUCCCUGCAGACCCUGGUUUGAUUCCAGGUUGUAUCAUAACCAAAGUGAUUGGGAGUCCCAUAGGAUGGCGCACAAUUGGCAAAGUGUCGUCCGGGUUAGGGUUUGUCCAGGGUAGGCCGUCAUUGUAAAUAAGAAUUUGUUCUUAUCUGACUUGCCUAGUUAAAUAAAGGUUAAAUAAAUAAAAAGAGAACCAGGGACAUCUCUAAAUGUACCAGCAGACAGGUAAUAAGAUGGACAUCUGUGAAAUUCCCAUAGCAGGUUGUGUUGUUGGCAUCUGCAGUGGGCAAGGGAAAGGAUCCAGAAAACUACACAGGCCCACUGUGUGGACAACCCUACCUGGUGCUCUAAAUCUUACGGGAUACGCCACACUGAGGAAGUGCUCCACACUUGCCGGGGUCAGGAGGAGAGUGCUGUUAUAGAUAGUGGAGAAGAACAGGUAGCCAGUGACUGGACACAGGAAGUAAGGGAGGGUCCAGUUCAAAUCAUCAACAGCCUCCUUCAUCUUGAAGGACAGGAAGGCGAGGAAGAUGAGAUCGGAGAUGGUCAGGCUGGGUAGCAGAAUCUCGAUGGGUUUUGGCAGGUACCUCGAUCUGGAAGAUGGUGAUGUAGACGAACAGUGCAAAGCCGCAUGGAAUGUGAUCUGCUGGCAUUAUAUUGGCAGGUACUGUUAGCACUGCAGUCAUUACAAGAGAGAGGAGAGCAUAAUGAUAUACUGACGUUUCAACCCAAAACUGUUGGGAGACAGCUAUCUGAACGGAAUUAUUCAACUAACAUCUCAGCUGACAUUGCUGCCUCAUUCACUUCCUGUCAUGACUCCAAACUAAGAUAUUACAUGGUAGAUAUAUAAUUACAAAGUUCUGCUACUUCUUUCAUUUCUAUUGAAGUGUUUGAAGAUUAUUUUCAGGAACACCUGUCACGUUCUGACCUUAGUUCUUUUAUUAUGUCUUUGUUUUAGUAUGGUCAGGGCAUGUGUUGGGUGGGUUGUCUAUGUUCUAUGUUGUGUUUGCGUUUGGCCUGGUAUGGUUCUCAAUCAGAGGCAGGUGUCGUUAGUUGUGUCUGAUUGAGAAUCAUACUUAAGGUAGCCUUUUCCCACUUGUGUUUCGUGGGUGUUUAUUUUCUGUUCUGUGUUUUAUUUCACCGUUCAGGACUGUUCGUUUGUCGUUUAAUUGUUUUUGUUUCAGUGUUCACUAUUCGUAUUAAAAAUCAAGAUGAAC
Oncorhynchus tshawytscha (Chinook salmon) is the source of this 2542-nucleotide long non-coding RNA. The record is from Ensembl. Lineage: Eukaryota; Metazoa; Chordata; Actinopteri; Salmoniformes; Salmonidae.